GAUGAACGCUGGCGGCGUGCUUAACACAUGCAAGUCGAACGAAGAUAUCCUGAAUGAGAGCUUCGGCAGGAAUUCUGGAUAUUCUUAGUGGCGGACGGGUGAGUAACGUGUGGGCAACCUGCCCUAUACUGGGGAAUAAUCACUGGAAACGGUGACUAAUACCGCAUGUGGUUCCUUGAAGGCAUCUUUAGGGAAAGAAAGGAUUUAUUCGGUAUAGGAUGGGCCCGCAUCUGAUUAGCUAGUUGGUGAGAUAAUAGCCCACCAAGGCGACGAUCAGUAGCCGACCUGAGAGGGUGAUCGGCCACAUUGGGACUGAGACACGGCCCAAACUCC
This 333-nucleotide ribosomal RNA is filed under the name uncultured Clostridia bacterium. RNAcentral describes it as "bacterial SSU rRNA". It matches the Rfam family "Bacterial small subunit ribosomal RNA", at positions 28 to 339 of the family's 1533-position model. The record is from RNAcentral. Lineage: Bacteria; Bacillati; Bacillota; Clostridia.